AAUCCAGAGACGGAUUGCUGAGAUGAUUCCUGCUUUCCGGCUCCCCGACACCCGCUGUUCUUUAGAUCCGCUCAGCGGCGCUUUUUCCUGUGCCACGUGCCCAGAUCUGAGCGAGGCUUGGGAAGACGCGAACGGGCUGUAAAAUCUGUCCCCAGAACUGGAGAGUAAGAAUGAGCGGUGUGGGGCUGAGCUGAGUCCAGGGAGUGCGAGAAUUUAGCAGUCGUGCUGUGCCUGGGCAUUUCAGACUGUGCCACAGCCGGGCCUGCCUGUUCCGCAAUGUGGCUGAGGAAGGGAGCCAAAAACGCUGCUGCAGGGCUGGCUGUGGGCAGUGGCAGGAAGCAAACAGAGGCUCUCUGGCGACUUCUCUCCCCUGGAGGCCCUCCUCCCUCUACUUCUAGCCCCACUGCUGUGGGACAGUUGCAUCCUGGGGCUUUCUGUGGCUCUCCCAUCAGUGCCCUGGGGCUGGCAUAUGCGACACCUCCUCUGCCUAGGGCAUUCAGGCAUUCUUCAGUACUUGGUGAGCACCUCCUAGUGCCAAGCUCUGUCCUGGUCACAGGAGAGCACUCCUAUCCAUGUGUUGUCCCUGUCCUCACUGCGCUUUGGGCCGGAGAGGAGCUCACUGUCUGAUCCUUUUCCCCGACUGUGGCUUAAGGGGUUUCGUCUCUUGCUAGAGCCCUUCUAGGCAGGCAGCAGGUCCUGGUUUGUGAGCAAGGGGCUCCUCCUCCAUUUUGGAGCCUCGGCUGCCCUGCCUCCCCGGUAAUCUGGUAUUCUGGUAGUGCCUCUCUGGGCCCUGGUUUAAAAGGCCGAGAGAAGCUGUAUUCUGGAGAUCAGCUCCAGGUUCUCCCGCAGAGAGCAAGCUCCAGGCACAGGCAAAGGGUGUGGCUUCAGAGAAGAGCGAGGAUCUUGCCAUCUCUUUUACAGAUCCGUGGAAGGCAGAGAGAAUUUGGGAACCUCUGUGCUAUAAGCAUGGAAAAUUGGGACUCAGGUAAAAAGGCUGGUUCCUGGUCGCACAGCUGGUCAUGGGUGAGUGUGGUUUUUGAACUCUGAUAUUUGGAUUCUGAGUACAGAACAUGUUAUAUUGUGGCCCAUGCCCUCCUCCUGAGUUCUUCAGUUUUAAUCAUUUCAUUUUCUACUCUUUUUAGGCACUUUGGCAAAGGAGUGUGAGUUUUGGGGAAGCUCAAGGAAGAGGUACCAGGUAGAGAGAGGGCCAGGGCUGAGUUCACGGGCUCUUUCUAAAUGGAAAUGUCUCACAUUCAGCUGUUGUCUGCCUUUGAGUCACACAGAACCACUUGCAGGAAGAACUCUAGAGAAUUUGGGAAGAAAGGGGGAGAGGACAGACAAAAGAUGCAUUUUUCUUUCAAGA
Molecule: long non-coding RNA, 1363 nt
Filed under: Homo sapiens (human)
Lineage: Eukaryota; Metazoa; Chordata; Mammalia; Primates; Hominidae
Description: HSALNT0304653
Source: RNAcentral